UGUGGUGAUUAUUAUUCCAUGAAUCAAGUCUUCCUUUGCACUUCAAUGUUAUUCUGCAAAUUAACUCGUAACUAUCAACCAGAACCAGCCACAAGUUUGAGGUAUUGGCACUGAUUGAAAAGUGAAAGCUUUAGCCUUGGUAAAUGACUGACACUUGCUGUAGAUCUGAUUGAUAGCAAGGAAUAUUUUCUUGUACAGGUGCCUGUACAGUAAGUAGUUUGUUUUAUUUUUCUUACUUGUGAAGUUUUUGUGGUUUCCUAAGCAGUCUU
Molecule: long non-coding RNA, 269 nt
Filed under: Fragaria vesca (wild strawberry)
Lineage: Eukaryota; Viridiplantae; Streptophyta; Magnoliopsida; Rosales; Rosaceae
Description: long non-coding RNA (FVES_LNC005574)
Source: RNAcentral